CUUACAGAAGAAGCGAAAGAUGGCGGGUCAAAGGUCACGCAGCCCCACCCAGUGGCGUGUUUGUUUUAUCUGGACAGACGGGAGGAGACGCCCAGGGUGAUGGGUGAUGGUGAUUGUGGACGUCGUGGUGGUGGUCAGUGGAUGUUCACAGCAAACAACACGUUGCCAUGCAGGACAGCCCUGGCUGUUGGAACCUGGAUGUGAGAGCUAAAUUGAAAGUUGACCGACUGGUGUUUAGUAGACACUUUAUAUCCAAGAGGACACAGACUUGCAGCAGUGGAUUUGAGAAUCGAACGAAUCGGUCAACUGAUUGUUGGCUGGUGAUGUGCAUCAGCAGCAUAGUGACGGCCUGUUCCAGCCCCACCUCAGUCUGAGGUGGAGGAAGAGAUGGAGUGAGCUGGAGGAGAUCAUGACCACUGCAUGUGUUUACCCAAAUAAACAGGCAACAAUGAGGGGAACUUCCCGUUAUGUCUCCGGCUGCGAGGAACGACUGAUAACAGAGGAGGACAGCUGAUGUCAGAGUGACAUCAGAGUGUUCCGCCCAGCCUCUCUAAGACGUGUCACCCUGAGCAAGACGUCUGCAGAUGUAAUGGGAGAUAACAGAAGAGAACUUCACUUCACACACGCGCCUACGCACGCACGCACGCACGCACGCACGCACACAUACACACACUCACUCUCUCACUCUCUGAUUAACUAACAUUUCCUGGGCAAAUGUGAUACCAACACCAGAGCUACAAGUGAAAAACUGAAAACUCAGUCUGCAUCUUUUUUUUAAUGACCAAAAUGGACAGAAUGGAAUUCAGUUAGAGAAAUUAAAAUGAACGAUUCAAUGUACAAUUAUUAAUUUAUGUUAAAUAAUUGAUCUGACAUCAUCCAAGAUCGACUGAAUAGGGUACUAGAUUGUAUGCCUUUACAACAGUGUGUUGUUGUGAAAAUGGAAUUGCUUGACAUGGUGCCGUUUCUCAGUGAGUCCUUUUUCUGAGUUACUGCAGACAAAUAAUAAUAAAUAAAUAAAUAAAUAAUCCCCCUCGCUGGGA
Molecule: long non-coding RNA, 1040 nt
Organism: Sardina pilchardus (European sardine)
Lineage: Eukaryota; Metazoa; Chordata; Actinopteri; Clupeiformes; Clupeidae
Exons: 4
Source: RefSeq, a predicted model, not a curated record